Molecule: long non-coding RNA, 377 nt
Organism: Leptopilina boulardi
Lineage: Eukaryota; Metazoa; Arthropoda; Insecta; Hymenoptera; Figitidae
Exons: 2
Source: RefSeq, a predicted model, not a curated record
AAAAGGUAAGGGAAAUUUCUUUAUUCACAGUAUUUUGCAAACUUCGUAAAAGUUAUAAUUUAAAAGUCAAUCAUGAGGGCAAUUUCUAUUCUUUUUGUAGCAGCAAUUUUAAUUGUUUGCUAUGCUACAUAUGGAGAUGCGAAUCCAGCGGCUGCACGAGCAGCAGCUAUACGCCGGAUGAAAAAGAAGAAGCAAAAAAAUUAAAUUGAUUUUUCAAUUGAACUCUUUAAAAAUGUGGAGUAAAUAAAAAUUUUGUUUGAUCAUUUAAAUUUUUGGGUGAAAAGUAAAUUAUUAUACAUACGUAUUGUUAUGUUAAAAGUAUCAAAAAAUUGGUUUAUAUAAAAAUUUUUGCUGAAAUUAAAUAAUUAAUCCGUCUA